This is a long non-coding RNA of Carassius gibelio (silver crucian carp), 362 nucleotides long. RefSeq lists it as uncharacterized. The transcript is spliced from 3 exons. Lineage: Eukaryota; Metazoa; Chordata; Actinopteri; Cypriniformes; Cyprinidae. The record is from RefSeq and is a predicted model, not a curated record.
GUUUUACCGAAAAUGGGUUAAAUAGGGAGACCACAGUACUUUUAAUUCUUGCUAUGUACGUCCACGGCCAAGUGGCAGAGGGAAUAAGAGGAUAUCCGAGCUGUGUUGAUAUGUGUGAGGUUUCUGUCUGCUCUGGAACGUGAGGCUGUGGAGGAGUGAGAGGCAGAGCUUCUGGAGAGGGAACAGUGGCUGGACAUCUGACCGCUGCACAGGAGCGGUGAAAUGCUUACUUGUGCCUGUGGUGUUGGAGAAUAGUUCCUCCAUUUCAGCAAUGUCUCUCCAAGGACCGCUGUGGUUGGGAACGCUGCCAUUAAGAGACUCUGUCUUGGUGGAAAGCUUCGGGUUGGAAAGAGCAAACUGUG